UGUCUGGGUGCUUUAGGUGCACGCUUAGCUUUACAUGGACAGCCAGGAUGCAAAUGCCACAGAGUUCAAGGAACGGCUUGACUCACUAAAACCAUUGGCAGUCCCAUAUCUUUGCGGUUUGUUCUCUGCUCAUUUUUAUUGAACUGGAGCUUAAUGAACAUAUUCUUAUAAACCAUUUGUUAUACUAUGCACAGUUCAGAUGAGCUUAUAGCACGUUCUCUCAUUACCAAAAAAACAAAACAAUCCGGCUGUUGGAGAAUCUCUGGAAGCUCCACUUGUGGUUGCCACUCCUCGGAAAGUCAGCUCCUCUCGGGAAGACGACUGUGAUGAUAAACAUUUUGUAUCUGAAACUUUCGAUGUUUGUUUUGUAAUGAAGUUGGCUUGAGUAACGUUUGACUUCAUUGUCUUUAUGU
Long non-coding RNA from Eutrema salsugineum, 413 nucleotides. RefSeq lists it as uncharacterized. The record is from RefSeq and is a predicted model, not a curated record. NCBI's taxonomy places the organism in Eukaryota, Viridiplantae, Streptophyta, Magnoliopsida, Brassicales, Brassicaceae. The transcript is spliced from 2 exons.